AUGUUCCAUAGAUGCCUAGGCCAGAAAAGGUCAUUUCAAGCCAGUCUUGGUGGUAGUUUAGUUGCUAAGUUGUGUCCAAUUAUUGGGACCCCUUGGACUGUAGCCCACCAGGCUCCUCUGUCCAUGGGAUUCUCCAGGCAAGAAUACUGGAGUGGGUUACUGUUUCCUUCUCUAGGGGAUCUUCUCAACCUGGGGAUCAAGCCCUGGUCUCCUGCACUGCAGGCAGAUUCUUUACCAACUGAGCAACAAGUCAUCUUAGCAGACUUCAAUGCCUCCUGCUCAGGUUCAUAA
Molecule: long non-coding RNA, 291 nt
Filed under: Ovis aries (sheep)
Lineage: Eukaryota; Metazoa; Chordata; Mammalia; Artiodactyla; Bovidae
Description: lncRNA (ENSOARG00000026171.1)
Source: RNAcentral